UCAAGCGUGAGGUAAGAGCAUUUGGUGGAUGCCUUGGCAUGUGCAGGCGAUGAAGGACGUGGCACGCUGCGAUAAGCGUCGGGGAGUUGUGAGCAAACUUUGAUCCGGCGAUUUCCGAAUGGGGAAACCCACCCUCACCAUUUCCUUUCGAUCGACCUUCGGGUGGAUCGGAAAGAGGUGGAUAGGGUAUUACCAGACUGAAUAUAUAGGUUUGGUGAAGCGAACCCGGGGAACUGAAACAUCUCAGUACCCGGAGGAAAAGACAUCAACAGAGAUUCCCGUAGUAGUGGCGAGCGAACCGGGACCAGGCCAGUGCCUUCAUUUCAACUAGCAAAACACUUUGGAAAGAGUGGCCAUAGNGGGUGACAGCCCCGUAUGCGAAAGUGAUGAUGAAGGACUCGAGUAGGGCGGGACACGUGAAAUCCUGUCUGAACAUGGGGGGACCACCCUCCAAGCCUAAAUACUCGCACAUGACCGAUAGCGAACACAGUACCGUGAGGGAAAGGUGAAAAGCACCCCGAUUAGGGGAGUGAAACAGUACCUGAAACCGGAUGCUUACAAGCAGUUGGAGCCCCAUAGGGGGUGACAGCGUACCUCUUGCAUAAUGGGUCAGUGACUUAAUNUANCNNGCAAGCUUAAGCCGUUAGGUGUAGGCGNAGCGAAAGCGAGUCUGAAUAGGGCGACUGAGUNNGAUGNAUUAGACCCGAACCCCGGCGAUCUAGGCAUGGCCAGGUUGAAGGUGCGGUAACACGCACUGGAGGACCGAACCGGUGAAUGUUGAAAAAUUCUCGGAUGAGCUGUGUUUAGGGGUGAAAGGCCAAUCAAGCCGGGAAAUAGCUGGUUCUCCGCGAAAUCUAUUGAGGUAGAGCGUCGGAUGUAUGCCGAUGGGGGUAGAGCACUGGAUGGGCUAGGGCUGCGCGAGCGGUACCAAACCUAACCAAACUCCGAAUACCAUCGAGUCNUAGUCCGGCAGACAGACGGCGGGUGCUAAGGUCCGUCGUCAAAAGGGAAACAGCCCUAACCUACAGCUAAGGUCCCCAAGUCAUAUCUAAGUGGGAAAGCAUGUGGNAAUCCCAAAACAACCAGGAGGUUGGCUUAGAAGCAGCCAUCCUUUAAAGAAAGCGUAACAGCUCACUGGUCUAAANAAGGGUUCCUGCGGCGAAGAUGUAACGGGGCUAAAGAUAUGCACCGAAGCUUAGGGUUCAGANNUUANUCUGAGCGGUAGCGGAGCGUUCCGUAAGCGAGNGAAGGNGAAGGGUAACCGACNCUGGACGUAUCGGAAGUGCGAAUGCUGACAUGAGUAGCGACAAAGAGGGUGAGAUGCCCUCUCGCCGAAAGACCAAGGGUUCCUGCGCAACGCUAAUCGGCGCAGGGUUAGCCGGCCCCUAAGACGAGCCCGAAGGGGGUAGUCGAUGGGAACCACGUAAAUAUUCGUGGGCCUGNAGAUGUGUGACGGAUCGUGGAAGUUGUUNNNNCUUAUUGGAUUGNNNGGGCAGCCAAGCGGUUCCAGGAAAUAGCCUCUNCNUAUAGACCGUACCCGAAACCGACACAGGUGGUCAGGUAGAGUAUACCAAGGCGCUUGAGAGAAGUAUCCUGAAGGAACUCGGCAAAUUGCCUCCGUACCUUCGGAAGAAGGAGGCCCCAUAUCGACGCAAGUCUUUGUGGGGGGCACAGGCCAGGGGGUAGCGACUGUUUAGCAAAAACACAGCACUCUGCUAAGUCGGCUUCAAGACGACGUAUAGGGUGUGACGCCUGCCCGGUGCUCGAAGGUUAAGAGGAGGAGUGCAAGCUCCGAAUUGAAGCCCGAGUAAACGGCGGCCGUAACNAUAACGGUCCUAAGGUAGCGAAAUUCCUUGUCGGGUAAGUUCCGACCUGCAC
Molecule: ribosomal RNA, 1878 nt
Filed under: metagenome
Description: bacterial LSU rRNA
Rfam family: Bacterial large subunit ribosomal RNA
Source: RNAcentral